GUACUUCCAUGAAAUUAAAAAAAUUUGAGAACUACAAGCCUUCAGUACCAAGUAGUUCUGAUCAAACGGUACUUCCAUGAAAUUAAAAAUAUUUGAGAACUACAAGCCUUCAGUACCAAGUAGUUCUGAUCAAACGGUACUUCCAUGUUCCAAGUGCGUCGUGUGAAUCAUUAACGCGAAUGCAAAGUAUUUAUCAAUGGCGUUUUGAAAAGCAGUGCAAGUAAAAGUUGCUUUCAAAUUGAAUCGCUGUUAUUGAUUAGAGAUGACGCUAAUGCGGAUACACCACGCGGGUAGGAGUAGGAAAUGCAGGCUAAUGAUCGAGAUUAAAUAAUUAUAACGAACCACUAUUGAGCACUAAUUAAACUUAGUAAGCAACAAAUUCCAAUACAGUAACAAAAUCCAACUGUAUGGAAGCUGGCGUUACUACACCCUGCAUUAAAACAAAAACACCAACAAAAUAUUGAAAUUAUAUGCUGGUCCAACGAGGAUGAUGUUAAUAAUGGCAAUGUCACAAAGUCGAUUUUUAAAACCAUUUAAUGGUUUGUUCGAAAUGAAAUGUAUAUGUGUGAAGUAAUUAACAAAGCUACGAGAUUAGGAGAACUCGAACUAUAUACAAGUUUCCAGUAGUCUUUCCACAAUAUGCAAUCAACAGUAGCAACAGCAGAUACUAUUUUUGAUCCAAAUAAGAAAUAACAUCAUCGCAACGAACCUUCAAUCCAAUAACCGAUGGUUAACAAAUUUCCACAUUAUUUUGGAGGCAAACAGUGAAAAUAAAAUGUUUGAUCCUCUGGAAUCUUGGAGGCAAUGUCAAAUAUGGGUACACAAAAGCAGAACAAAAUUCAUAACAAAAAAAUAUAUUUACAAACAUUAUCAAUUUAAGGUAAUUUAGAUCAUAAGUUUUAAACUCCAAUCGAAUAUCAAAUUGAAUAUUAUACACAAUAUAAAUUUAUCAUAUUUAUAUAAAUUUAUUUC
Teleopsis dalmanni is the source of this 972-nucleotide long non-coding RNA. RefSeq lists it as uncharacterized. Lineage: Eukaryota; Metazoa; Arthropoda; Insecta; Diptera; Diopsidae. The record is from RefSeq and is a predicted model, not a curated record. The transcript has 3 exons.